UACAAGUUAAUAUUUCUAUUUGCUUUAAAUCCAGCAUUUCUAAUCCCCUAUGAAGCCUUUUCUCCCCCUCAGCCAUUCUUACUGCACAAGCAGGAGGUUACAUGAGACUGAGGAACUCUUCUAAUGAUAUCCCUGUUUCAUGGAUUGUUGUAUCCAAAUAAUUCAUCAUUAAAUGACUAGCCUGCUUGUGAUAAGCCUUUCUGGGCUUAGGCUAUACUGGUCCACAGAAAGGGGAUACCAUCUAACCUUGGGACCAUACUCCCCUUUCUCACCUGUCAAAGUUUGCCCUCCACUGACCUAGUCUUUCUUUUUCUUUUUAUUUUUUUAUAUCCUUUACUUUCUGUCUUAAUAUCAUCUCUAAGACAGAAAAAUGGCAAAGGACUAAAGCAACUGGAGUUAAGUGUCCCAUAGCUAGGAAAUAUCUGCUGAAGUCAGAUUUGAACCCAGGUCCUCCCAAUUCCAGGUCUGGUGCUUUAUCCACGGGGCUACCUAGCUGCCCCCAGUAGCCUAAUCUUUAAGAACUUAAAGAACAUAAGAAUAUGUGUUUGCCAGAUUGAAAUUUAUUUUCCCCAAAGCACAUGGGAGAGAUGAGUUUCUUAGAGAUUGGAGUGGUAUGAGUGGAGUUCCACUCUGGAAAGGUACCUUUCCACUGUGAUAAAGCUAAAUGUCUUCAGCUGGUUCCUUUUGGUGCCUGGAUGCUGCAAGGUUAUCAGAGCAAGUCUUGUCUUUCACUUCCUGCCUAUGUCCAAGAUCUCUUAGGAGACUGUUCUUCAGUUCAGAAAAGAGGUAUUUUGGAUAAAUACUACAAACGCUCGUCGGUGGGGUUUUCGAGAAUAUGGCUUUUUUUUUUUUAUACUAAAGAAUAGAAAGCCUCCCUCAAGAGUUGGUGGAAUACAUGAGCUACAUUCUCAAAUCAACAAACAUCUUCGGGAAAGCAGAUACUUUUUAUAAUUUUGAAUAAAAUGAAAGUUGCCUUAUAUAAUAUAAUAUGC
RNAcentral lists this long non-coding RNA (992 nucleotides) under Monodelphis domestica (gray short-tailed opossum). RNAcentral describes it as "lncRNA (ENSMODG00000035274.2)". The record is from RNAcentral. Lineage: Eukaryota; Metazoa; Chordata; Mammalia; Didelphimorphia; Didelphidae.